CCUACGGGAGGCAGCAGUGGGGAAUAUUGGGCAAUGGGCGCAAGCCUGAACCAGCAACGCCGCGUGAAGGAAGAAGGCUCUCGGGUUGUAAACUUCUUUUUUCAGGGACGAAGCAAGUGACGGUACCGGAGGAAUAAGCCACGGCUAACGACGUGCCAGCAGCCGCGGCAAUACGGAGGUGGCAGUCGUUAUCCGGAUUUACUGGGUGUAAAGGGAGUGCAGGUGGGACUGGAAGUCAGAUGGGAAAACUACGGGGUCAACCUGUGGCCUGCAUUUGAAACCGUAGUUCUUGAGUACUGGAGAGGUAGGCGGAAUGCGUAGUGUAGCGGUGAAAUGCGUAGAUAUUAGGAGGAACACCGGUGGCGAAGGCAGUCUGCUGGACAGCAACUGACGCUGAGGCGCGAAAGCGUGGGGAGCAAACAGGAUUAGAUACCCUUGUAGUC
Molecule: ribosomal RNA, 443 nt
Filed under: uncultured bacterium
Lineage: Bacteria
Description: partial 16S ribosomal RNA
Rfam family: Bacterial small subunit ribosomal RNA
Source: RNAcentral